This 330-nucleotide long non-coding RNA is filed under the name Elaeis guineensis (African oil palm). RNAcentral's name for it is "long non-coding RNA (EGUI_LNC031249)". Lineage: Eukaryota; Viridiplantae; Streptophyta; Magnoliopsida; Arecales; Arecaceae. The record is from RNAcentral.
GGGGAAAAUUGAAAUAUUUAUGAUCUUAGAUGUGUGGCUAUAGCCUUCCAAUGGUUACCUAAACUUUUAGUUCAUUAGGUACCAACAUGGGCAUCAUAAAUCAACUGGCCAAAAUAAUCUAUAAUUUGCUUUAUAUUAAAAUCUAUUAUUGUGGCGGUUAUUUUUUUGCAUUUGCAAAAUCAAUGGGUCCAGACAUCGUCUGGCCAUUAUGCUAGUUGUAUAUCUAUACAAAUACAUUAAAGGGGAAGCUUGUAGCCUCCCGUACGUUACGUGUCAAGCUCUGGCUUCUUCGAUUAUUAAUUUUUUUUUUCUUAGAACAUUCACCGAACC